RNAcentral lists this transfer RNA (72 nucleotides) under Nanobdellota archaeon. RNAcentral's name for it is "tRNA-Arg". It matches the Rfam family "tRNA". From Rfam's summary of the family: Transfer RNA (tRNA) molecules are approximately 80 nucleotides in length. Their secondary structure includes four short double-helical elements and three loops (D, anti-codon, and T loops). Lineage: Archaea; Nanobdellati; Nanobdellota. The record is from RNAcentral. RNAcentral also lists the same sequence under 1 other name.
GGGCCUAUAGUCUAACGGAUAGGACGCCGGGCUUCGGACCCGUCGAUGGAGGUUCGAAUCCUCCUAGGCUCA